CAGUACCGUGAGGGAAAGGUGAAAAGCACCCCGGAAGGGGAGUGAAAUAGAACCUGAAACCGUGUGCUUACAAGUAGUCAGAGCCCGUUAAUGGGUGAUGGCGUGCCUUUUGUAGAAUGAACCGGCGAGUUACGAUUUGAUGCAAGGUUAAGCAGUAAAUGUGGAGCCGUAGCGAAAGCGAGUCUGAAUAGGGCGUUUAGUAUUUGGUCGUAGACCCGAAACCAGGUGAUCUACCCUUGGUCAGGUUGAAGUUCAGGUAACACUGAAUGGAGGACCGAACCGACUUACGUUGAAAAGUGAGCGGAUGAACUGAGGGUAGCGGAGAAAUUCCAAUCGAACCUGGAGAUAGCUGGUUCUCUCCGAAAUAGCUUUAGGGCUAGCCUCAAGUGAUGAUUAUUGGAGGUAGAGCACUGUUUGGACGAGGGGCCCCUCUCGGGUUACCGAAUUCAGACAAACUCCGAAUGCCAAUUAAUUUAACUUGGGAGUCAGAACAUGGGUGAUAAGGUCCGUGUUCGAAAGGGAAACAGCCCAGACCACCAGCUAAGGUCCCAAAAUAUAUGUUAAGUGGAAAAGGAUGUGGCGUUGCCCAGACAACUAGGAUGUUGGCUUAGAAGCAGCCAUCAUUUAAAGAGUGCGUAAUAGCUCACUAGUCGAGUGACACUGCGCCGAAAAUGUACCGGGGCUAAACAUAUUACCGAAGCUGUGGAUUGUCCUUUGGACAAUGGUAGGAGAGCGUUCUAAGGGCGUUGAAGCAUGAUCGUAAGGACAUGUGGAGCGCUUAGAAGUGAGAAUGCCGGUGUGAGUAGCGAAAGACGGGUGAGAAUCCCGUCCACCGAUUGACUAAGGUUUCCAGAGGAAGGCUCGUCCGCUCUGGGUUAGUCGGGUCCUAAGCUGAGGCCGACAGGCGUAGGCGAUGGAUAACAGGUUGAU
Molecule: ribosomal RNA, 930 nt
Filed under: Staphylococcus aureus
Lineage: Bacteria; Bacillati; Bacillota; Bacilli; Caryophanales; Staphylococcaceae
Description: partial 23S ribosomal RNA
Rfam family: Bacterial large subunit ribosomal RNA
Source: RNAcentral